GUGAGGAAUAUUGGUCAAUGGACGCAAGUCUGAACCAGCCAUGCCGCGUGCAGGAAGACGGCUCUAUGAGUUGUAAACUGCUUUUGUACGAGGGUAAAUGCAGGUACGUGUAUCUGUUUGAAAGUAUCGUACGAAUAAGGAUCGGCUAACUCCGUGCCAGCAGCCGCGGUAAUACGGAGGAUCCAAGCGUUAUCCGGAUUUAUUGGGUUUAAAGGGUGCGUAGGCGGUUUUAUAAGUUAGAGGUGAAAUCUCGGGGCUCAACUCCGAAAUUGCCUCUAAUACUGUAGGACUAGAGAGUAGUUGCGGUAGGCGGAAUGUAUGGUGUAGCGGUGAAAUGCUUAGAGAUCAUACAGAACACCGAUUGCGAAGGCAGCUUACCAAACUAUAUCUGACGUUGAGGCACGAAAGCGUGGGGAGCAAACAGGAUUAGAAACCCUAGUAGUCC
This 445-nucleotide ribosomal RNA is filed under the name uncultured bacterium. RNAcentral describes it as "bacterial SSU rRNA". It matches the Rfam family "Bacterial small subunit ribosomal RNA", at positions 354 to 796 of the family's 1533-position model. The record is from RNAcentral.